This 603-nucleotide long non-coding RNA is filed under the name Setaria viridis. RNAcentral's name for it is "long non-coding RNA (SVIR_LNC007806)". The record is from RNAcentral. Lineage: Eukaryota; Viridiplantae; Streptophyta; Magnoliopsida; Poales; Poaceae.
GGUGGAUGAAGAAGACAAAGAGAUUGAGAGGUUUGAGUCUAGUCAUAAUAGAGGCCAGAACAAUAACAAUCUGAGUAAUGGUUGUCGAUGUUUUAUACCGGCAACCUACCAAAGGAGUACCAGAGGUUGUCGAUUUGUUGGUGGGGGAUCGCCGGACCUAGAACUCAAAGGUAAAAGCGAGGACACAAGACACAGAUUUAUACAGGUUUGGGCUGCCGGAGUAGCGUAAUACCCUACGUCCUAUUUGGGGUGUUGUAUAUUGUGCCCUACGCUUGGGUGUUGUGGUAUGAGGAUUUGGUCCUUUGUUCUGAGUUGAGGUGCCGAUCUAGGUACCCCUACCCUCCUUUAUAUACUCCAGGGGGCAUGAUUACUAGUCGGUUACAAGGAGGAGUCCUAGUAGGAUUACAUGGUAUGAGUCCUAGUAGGAUUAUGGUGGAAUCUUAGUAGGAGUCCACCUUCUUCCUUCCUUUCAGAUACUGGGGAUCUAUCCCUGACAAUGGCCAACGCAAUGACAAGAACCGUAAUGAUUGACCCAAUAAUGACAACCGAGGCAACUACUCGGGUGGUCAAAAUCACAAGAGGAAGGCAGACAAUAUUGUUGCG